UGCUCUCAGCCCAUCGCUGAGGCUGGAGUCCCGGAGGACGGGGGUCUGCCUGCUUCCCUGGCCGUGUGUGUCAUCGCCGAGCCCACUGGAGCCCAGGAGGAUUCAAGAAGAAGUGGAUUGGGAUGCUGCUCUCACCCCCUACUCUAUCCCUGAUCGAGAAAACCAUCUAGGGAAAGCAGAAAGGGCCAGUCCCGGUUUGGCAGAAAGGAUUGUGUUUGGUGUGGGGGUGGAUUCACAGAACGCUCAGAUAAGCAAAUUGUAGCUUAAGCAAACAAGGGUUUAUUUGAAGCAUAUUAUAAGAAGUGAAGACGGAAGGGUUUCAGACUUUGUGCAUUGGCUCCGUUUGGUCACACUGACCCAGAAUCUCUUUUUCCGCAUCCUUGUUGGCAUUUGUCUGCAUCUUGGUUGCAAGAUGGCUGCUGUUCCUCCAGGUAUCACGUCUGUGUUCCAGGGGCUGAAAGUGAGUGAUGCUUGGACCCUGGAGGACAGCCAGCAAGGAGAUGGAGACCCUGGUCCUGCAACCACACAGGACUGAAUUCCGAUGGCCUGAAUGAGCUUGGAAACAGGAGUUACGGUGUCGAGGAGGUCAUGGAGUGAGUAUGACCCAGGCUGACCCUAGAGCUGGCCCUGGGACAGUGAAAAGAGGCCAUCUGGACAUUGACCAUGUCUGACCCUGCGGAGGCCUCGAUGAACUAGAAGAUUCUGGAGGGCAGAGCCCAGGUGCCCUGGUCAUGUGGCACUCAAGACAAGCCAUGGGUGGACGUCCCUGAUUAUUAAAACCACCACCACCACGUAUCCACAGUGGCUUCUCGCUUCCAUCCCUCCUUGCCUUCCGUGUACCAGCCAGUUCAGAUCUCACCAGGAAUGUCCCUGUGGUUGCCAGGCAGCACCGGGUCCUGAGAUGACCAGGCCAAUUUCCGUUCACACGUAAGACACUCGUCUAAAAUAGCCAUUGGCUCACCUUAAAAAAGGUUAUUCCUUCAAAUAAAUCAAAGAACUAUCUGCGAAUGGUAGGUACGUUCGUAGCAAACCCUCUGAUUAGACAAUGAACAGAGUGUAAGUUUGUAGACGCUGGGGGUCGGCGAAGAUGACAGGUUCAGAAGCCACAUCCUUUUUCAGGAUAGCCAAGAUCCUGAGUGACCAGAUGCGGUGUCACCGGGAGUCCGGAAGGGACAGAGGGUGAUGGGGAUUCAGGCAGGCGGUGGACCAUUCCUGAGAUGGGCAAGAACCUCAGAGACAAGGGAACCUGGACCGUCACUCUGCAGCAUGACUGCAACCUCCCACCUGCCGCCGAUGUGGACACGAACACACGACAAACCCACUGGCCAAGUCCCGAAUCUCUGCAGCGGCAUUGCCAACAGUGAAUUUUGUUCCCGGUCAUGUGAUGCUAGGACCUCGGUCAUCUGCUUGAAGGAACGCCCCCUGAUGGCAGGGACUGUGGCGCUUGUUCACUCCUGUAGCCCCAGUGCUUAGCACCAUAUUUGGCCCAAAUUACAUGCUCAACACAGUUGUUGAAUAAGAAGUUAAUAAAGCAGCCACUGCUCGGAGUCUGGAAACACAGGUCUGGAGGGACCCACGGGGCUGAGUCAACUAGAGCAGGUGUCAGGCAGUAAGAAGAGGUGGGGAGUGUGGCAAAACGACACACACCACCCAGGUUUAAAGGUGGCCAGUGUUUGACCCUGGCCGAUGGCUGCCAUGUGCGAGUGGAGAUCCCGUGUCACUAAACUGACUGAAAUGUGUGUAAAAUAUCCUGAUGUGUAAGUGUUGGCCAAUUUCUUUAAAACAUGAACUAAGCUUUAAAAAACAACAACAGGGCUGGCCAA
Long non-coding RNA from Hipposideros armiger (great roundleaf bat), 1823 nucleotides. RefSeq lists it as uncharacterized. The record is from RefSeq and is a predicted model, not a curated record. The transcript is spliced from 3 exons. NCBI's taxonomy places the organism in Eukaryota, Metazoa, Chordata, Mammalia, Chiroptera, Hipposideridae.